Bactrocera latifrons is the source of this 284-nucleotide long non-coding RNA. RefSeq lists it as uncharacterized. The transcript is spliced from 2 exons. The record is from RefSeq and is a predicted model, not a curated record. NCBI's taxonomy places the organism in Eukaryota, Metazoa, Arthropoda, Insecta, Diptera, Tephritidae.
CAGUAGAAAGCAAAUAUUCUCGGAAGUGGUACAUUUUUCUUUUCUUCGGGUUUUGUCGCAAAUUUUUCUUAUUUUAAAAAAGUAAUACGCUGAAAUUGUUAUAUACCAAGUAUGAUCAGCCAGAGAGCUCUAAAACUUCGUGAAAUUUUAAGAUUUUAGAAGAACUUCUCGAAGACGCAGAGCUGGGUGAUGAAAGCACUAUUGAUAUAGUGCAACUGCCACCAGAUGCUGAUUGUCUGACUGAUUGCGAAGAUGUUGAUGAAGACAAUCUCGAUGAAGUAACA